Pezoporus occidentalis (night parrot) is the source of this 2496-nucleotide long non-coding RNA. RefSeq lists it as uncharacterized. The transcript is spliced from 2 exons. NCBI's taxonomy places the organism in Eukaryota, Metazoa, Chordata, Aves, Psittaciformes, Psittacidae. The record is from RefSeq and is a predicted model, not a curated record.
CAGGCCUAUGUGUGGGGGCUCCCAGUGGCAAGCAGCUGUAGGCAGGGUGUAGAGAGGUUGUAGGGUGUAGGCUGGGGCCUGGCUGUGGGUCUGCAGGGUGUUGGGAGGUGGGGGACUCUCAGCAGGUCACUGGCUCCUGUGGUACUGUCAGUAAGAUGCAAACAGCAGGACUCAGAGUAUGAAGUAGUUGCUUUCCAAGUCCACAUCAGUGGUUACUGGGGCACUGGGAGAGCUCAGACUUCUCAGAGCUUGUUGCAGUGAUGAGGUUUCACCAUGCAUUUGCUCACCUGCUGCUGGCCCAGUGCAAUCUGCCUCUCGGUAGCUCCAGCUCUGUGAGUGCAGCUGGAUCUCAGCUCAAAGCUGGGUUGUUCCUACUGCCAGAAGUGCUGGUUUGGAGUCCCUCAGCUGAGAUCAGCUAGUUCAGGUGUGUGCUGAAGUGUGUGUGACAACAAAACCUCCUUGUUCUGCUCUCCUUUGCCCAUUUGCUGCCUCUUUACUGAGCCCCAUCAUUGCUUUUCCUUAUGAAGUUAUCACUUUUUCCCCAGCUCAGGUCCCUCUAAAGCCAACAUUUCAGGUUAACAUUGAGUACAACAGGAAAGUGUCACUAAUGCUUCAUUGAGCUUCCCAGUUUAUUUUGCCUCUGCUUUUAUUGUGCUUAUGGGGCAGGAACUUUCUUCCACCUGGAGUGGCCUGAAGGACCUGGCUGGUUCUUUGCAAACUGCUUUUCGAGUGGUGCCUAAACUGGAGUUGGUUCUGGAGAGGAAUGCAGUAGUUUUCAACCACGGGCUUUGUUGGAUGCUUUUGGAUUGGGUUUUUUUUUCAGCAGGGCCUAAGAAUAACUUCACUGUUUGAAUGUGGAGGAGAAGCUUGUGGGAGGUGGAUUGAGCAGCCAGAUUCCCGUUUGGAAAGCGAGGAGGGUUAACAUCCUUGCUCCUCAUUUCCUUAAAGCAAGAGAUCAUGUUCACCUUUGGUGGCAGGAGUGGGGUUGUGACUGUUGCCAGCUGCAGUCCCUCUGUGGGCUGGGCUUGUUUGCCCUUGGUGUUAAAAACUUAACAGUAGAGAUGUGGGUUCAGGGUGGAAGCAGUGUGUUGGGAAUCAGCCUGGGAGGCUUGUAGGGAUUCCUGGGCUUCUCUCAGUGUGUUCUUUCUGCUCCUAGGAGCUGCUUGGGAAGUGAGAAGUGGGAGGCUAUUUUAGUACCCGAUAGACCUCUCACUGCUUUGAGAGCUUGAAUGCAGCCACAAGUUGCCCUAAAUACCUGCCAGUGCUUUGGUUCUACCUAAGUGUGGGACGUUCAACACUUCCUCUGCUUUUUGGCACUUGCCUGUUAACCAAGUGUAAAACAUCAUCAUGGCCACCUCAGUCACUGCUUAGCCAAGCCAGGCCUCCAGUUAUUUUAAUCUUUCCUUGUAAAUCAAUCCCUCCAGCUGCUUCACUGGAUUUUCCUGAAUGCCUUCCAAUUUGCCAAUAUCCUUCUGAUACCCAAGAGCUUGGAGCUGGCUGUGCUUUGCAGCAGGACUUCCCCUCCCUGCUCUCUGUCUGUUCGGAUUAGGAGGAGGAAAAGCUUCACACAAACUUGGUGAACACACUCAACCUCCCACUUGCCAUUUGUCUUUUGCUGUAGCUUAACUCUUCCUUGUUGAGGGGGACUUCUAACAUUAACCUCUAUUUAUUGCUUCCAUUUCUGUUGCCCAAGGUUCCUUAGUUCCCAGUUUUCUCCAUCAGUUCCCACUCAUGGAGCUCCCACUUUGUGCUCUGAUUUCUUUCCUUCUCUUUGUGAUUUAUGGAGGUGUUAGGUGAAAACAAACUUGCUCUUGAGCCUUGCUGAGCCCACCUUGGUACGUUGUGAGUGCUGUUACUCAUUUUAAGCUGGUUGAUGGUUCCUAGUCUGGCCUAACUUGGAAGCACUGUUCUCAAAUGGAGUUUGUGAACGUGGCAUGGGGCAGGCAGAAGAUUCCCCUCUCCCCCUUGGAAAGAUAGGGAAGUUUGAGAGAGGAAGUGCAUGGGUGAUGGUUGGGAGGAAGAAAUCAAAUCCUCCUUCCAUCCUCCUUGGGCUGUUUUCAUGUGGUGAGGCAGCCAGGAGGAACUGGCAUAGCCUCACCCGGAACCAGCUGCUGCCUCUUGAUGAUGGAACCAUUUUAAACUGGUUUAGUAAAAGGCUCCAGUUGUGGCAGCCUCGUGGUGCUGGGGUCUGUAGCUGAGGAUCUCUGGGAUGGAUUUGGUUUCGGUCUCAUGUUCUGCUGCAUCAUGUGUGGAGCUUUCUCACAGCCUGUUGGGGUUUAUUUAUCCUUAUCUUAUCCCCUUCUUAGGGCCUUUUUUGACUUUCCCUUCUUUCUUCAACAUUCCCAGCACCAAGAAUUGAGGCCAGAUCCCCAAAACUGCUCUUCCCUCAUUUAGCAGCCAACUACGAGGCGUUUGGAGAGGAAACGUUGGGAGCAGAUGGACCUGGGGACCUGUUGCUUCCUAGAACUUCAUUAAGUAUUUCCCCCCACCUUUUAA